CAACGAUGAAGAGUUUGAUCCUGGCUCAGGAUGAACGCUAGCGGCAGGCCUAACACAUGCAAGUCGAACGGUAACAUUGGUGCUUGCACCAGAUGACGAGUGGCGCACGGGUGCGUAACGCGUAUGCAAUCUGCCUUGUACUGGAGUAUAGCCCAGGGAAACUUGGAUUAAUCCUCCAUAGUAUAUAGAAAUGGCAUCAUUUUUAUAUUAAAGGUUACGGUACAAGAUGAGCAUGCGUCCCAUUAGCUAGUAGGUAUGGUAACGGCAUACCUAGGCAACGAUGGGUAGGGGUCCUGAGAGGGAGAUCCCCCACACUGGUACUGAGACACGGACCAGACUCCUACGGGAGGCAGCAGUGAGGAAUAUUGGACAAUGGGGGCAACCCUGAUCCAGCCAUGCCGCGUGCAGGAAGACUGCCCUAUGGGUUGUAAACUGCUUUUAUAGGGGAAGAACCCCCUCCACGUGUGGAGGGCUGACGGUACCCUACGAAUAAGGAUCGGCUAACUCCGUGCCAGCAGCCGCGGUAAUACGGAGGAUCCAAGCGUUAUCCGGAAUCAUUGGGUUUAAAGGGUCCGUAG
This 578-nucleotide ribosomal RNA is filed under the name Mesonia sp. RNAcentral's name for it is "bacterial SSU rRNA". It matches the Rfam family "Bacterial small subunit ribosomal RNA", at positions 1 to 574 of the family's 1533-position model. The record is from RNAcentral. Lineage: Bacteria; Pseudomonadati; Bacteroidota; Flavobacteriia; Flavobacteriales; Flavobacteriaceae.